Molecule: ribosomal RNA, 498 nt
Filed under: uncultured bacterium
Lineage: Bacteria
Description: partial 16S ribosomal RNA
Rfam family: Bacterial small subunit ribosomal RNA
Source: RNAcentral
AUUGAACGCUGGCGGAAUGCUUUACACAUGCAAGUCGAGCGGCAGCGCGGGGCAACCUGGCGGCGAGCGGCGAACGGGUGAGUAAUACAUCGGAACGUACCCAGUUGUGGGGGAUAGCCCGGCGAAAGCCGGAUUAAUACCGCAUACGACCUGAGGGUGAAAGCGGGGGAUCGCAAGACCUCGCGCAGUUGGAGCGGCCGAUGGCGGAUUAGCUAGUUGGUGAGGUAAAGGCUCACCAAGGCGACGAUCCGUAGCUGGUCUGAGAGGACGACCAGCCACACUGGAACUGAGACACGGUCCAGACUCCUACGGGAGGCAGCAGUGGGGAAUUUUGGACAAUGGGGGAAACCCUGAUCCAGCCAUUCCGCGUGAGUGAAGAAGGCCUUCGGGUUGUAAAGCUCUUUCGGCAGGAACGAAACGGCGAGCUCUAACAUAGCUUGCUAAUGACGGUACCUGAAGAAGAAGCACCGGCUAACUACGUGCCAGCCGCCGCAGUAA